AGAACUUAGCAGAGAUGCUUUGGUGCCUUCGGGGAACUCUGAGACAGGUGCUGCAUGGCUGUCGUCAGCUCGUGUUGUGAAAUGUUGGGUUAAGUCCCGCAACGAGCGCAACCCUUAUCCUUUGUUGCCAGCGGUUAGGCCGGGAACUCAAAGGAGACUGCCAGUGAUAAACUGGAGGAAGGUGGGGAUGACGUCAAGUCAUCAUGGCCCUACGAGUAGGGCUACACACGUGCUACAAUGGCGCAUACAAAGAGAAGCGACCUCGCGAGAGCAAGCGGACCUCAUAAAGUGCGUCGUAGUCCGGAUUGGAGUCUGCAACUCGACUCCAUGAAGUCGGAAUCGCUAGUAAUCGUGGAUCAGAAUGCCACGGUGAAUACGUUCCCGGGCCUUGUACACACCGCCCGUCACACCAUGGGAGUGGGUUGCAAAAGAAGUAGGUAGCUUAACCUUCGGGAGGGCGCUUACCACUUUGUGAUUCAUGACUGGGGUGAAGUCGUAACAAGGUAAGCGUAGUGCU
RNAcentral lists this ribosomal RNA (517 nucleotides) under uncultured bacterium. RNAcentral's name for it is "bacterial SSU rRNA". It matches the Rfam family "Bacterial small subunit ribosomal RNA", at positions 992 to 1509 of the family's 1533-position model. The record is from RNAcentral.